AACGCUAGCUACAGGCUUAACACAUGCAAGUCGAGGGGCAGCAUAAAAGUAGCAAUACUUUGGUGGCGACCGGCGCACGGGUGAGUAACGCGUAUGCAACCUACCUAUCAGAGGGGAAUAACCCGGCGAAAGUCGGACUAAUACCGCAUAAAACAGGGGCACCGCAUGGUGAUAUUUGUUAAAGAAAUUCGCUGAUAGAUGGGCAUGCGUUCCAUUAGGUAGUUGGUGAGGUAACGGCUCACCAAGCCGACGAUGGAUAGGGGAACUGAGAGGUUGGUCCCCCACACUGGUACUGAGACACGGACCAGACUCCUACGGGAGGCAGCAGUGAGGAAUAUUGGUCAAUGGGCGGGAGCCUGAACCAGCCAAGUCGCGUGAAGGAAGAAGGAUCUAUGGUUCGUAAACUUCUUUUGCAGGGGAAUAAAGUGCAGGACGUGUCCUGUUUUGUAUGUACCCUGAGAAUAAGGAUCGGCUAACUCCGUGCCAGCAGCCGCGGUAAUACGGAGGAUCCGAGCGUUAUCCGGAUUUAUUGGGUUUAAAGGGAGCGUAGGCCGUCUGUUAAGCGUGUUGUGAAAUGUAGAUGCUCAACAUCUGAAUUGCAGCGCGAACUGGCAGACUUGAGUGUGCGCAACGUAGGCGGAAUUCGUGGUGUAGCGGUGAAAUGCUUAGAUAUCACGAAGAACUCCGAUUG
RNAcentral lists this ribosomal RNA (691 nucleotides) under uncultured bacterium. Its description in RNAcentral is "bacterial SSU rRNA". It matches the Rfam family "Bacterial small subunit ribosomal RNA", at positions 32 to 715 of the family's 1533-position model. The record is from RNAcentral.